GGACGAACGCUGGCGGCGUGCCUAACACAUGCAAGUCGAACGGGGUUAAGUGAAAUUUCGGAUGGAGCUUAACUUAGUGGCGGACGGGUGAGUAACGCGUGGAUAACCUGCCUCACACUGGGGGAUAGCAGCUGGAAACGGCUGGUAAUACCGCAUAAGACCACAGCACCGCAUGGUGCAGGGGUAAAAGAUUUAUCGGUGUGAGAUGGAUCCGCGUCUGAUUAGCCAGUUGGCGGGUAACGGCCCACCAAAGCGACGAUCAGUAGCCGGCCUGAGAGGGUGAACGGCCACAUUGGGACUGAGACACGGCCCAAACUCCUACGGGAGGCAGCAGUGGGGAAUAUUGCACAAUGGGCGCAAGCCUGAUGCAGCAAACCGCCGCGUGAGUGAAGAAGUAUUUCGGUAUGUAAAGCUCUAUCGGCAGGGAAGAAAGGCCCUUAACAGGGAGAUGACGGUACCUGACUAAGAAGCCCCGGCUAACUACGUGCCAGCAGCCGC
This 498-nucleotide ribosomal RNA is filed under the name uncultured bacterium. Its description in RNAcentral is "bacterial SSU rRNA". It matches the Rfam family "Bacterial small subunit ribosomal RNA", at positions 27 to 518 of the family's 1533-position model. The record is from RNAcentral.